RNAcentral lists this ribosomal RNA (480 nucleotides) under uncultured bacterium. RNAcentral describes it as "bacterial SSU rRNA". It matches the Rfam family "Bacterial small subunit ribosomal RNA", at positions 30 to 506 of the family's 1533-position model. The record is from RNAcentral.
UUGAACGCUGGCGGAAUGCUUUACACAUGCAAGUCGAGCGGCAGCGCGGGGCAACCUGGCGGCGAGCGGCGAACGGGUGAGUAACAUAUCGGAACGUACCCUAUCGUGGGGGAUAACACAUCGAAAGAUGUGCUAAUACCGCAUACGACCUGAGGGUGAAAGCGGGGGAUCGCAAGACCUCGCGCGACAGGAGCGGCCGAUAUCGGAUUAGCUAGUUGGUGAGGUAAAGGCUCACCAAGGCGACGAUCCGUAGCUGGUCUGAGAGGACGACCAGCCACACUGGAACUGAGACACGGUCCAGACUCCUACGGGAGGCAGCAGUGGGGAAUUUUGGACAAUGGGCGCAAGCCUGAUCCAGCAAUGCCGCGUGCAGGAUGAAGGCCUUCGGGUUGUAAACUGCUUUUGUACGGAACGAAAAGACUCCUUCUAAUAAAGGGGGUUCAUGACGGUACCGUAAGAAUAAGCACCGGCUAACUACGU